UACAGGGGGUGCGAGCGUUGUCCGGAAUCACUGGGCGUAAAGGGCGCGUAGGCGGCUUGAUAAGCGUGCGGUGAAAGCCCGGGGCUCAACCCCGGGUCGGCCGUGCGAACUGUCGAGCUGGAGCACUGUAGAGGCAGGUGGAAUUCCGGGUGUAGCGGUGGAAUGCGUAGAGAUCCGGAAGAACACCGGUGGCGAAGGCGGCCUGCUGGGCAGUGGCUGACGCUGAGGCGCGACAGCGUGGGGAGCAAACAGG
Molecule: ribosomal RNA, 253 nt
Filed under: uncultured bacterium
Lineage: Bacteria
Description: partial 16S ribosomal RNA
Rfam family: Bacterial small subunit ribosomal RNA
Source: RNAcentral